CACUCUUUAUUUAAUUAUGUGGCUUAGAAGGAAGAUUGAAGUCAAUACAGUCAGCUGUAUUUUACGUGAUUACAUCAUAUUAGUGUGCAUAGUUGCGAAGCAUACAUAUCAGUCUCCAAAAAGUUUAAUGGAGAUAGCCAGAGUCUUUCAAGUUCUUAGGAAAUACUGGUUUGUAACAUUCAUCCCGUCCUGUACUAUACUUGCUAUUUGUGCAGAUUUGAGACAUACAUAUUUGUGGAAGAAACAAUUAGCUGCAGAGGGGAAAUUAAAAUCAAACAUUUAGAAUGUCACCAUUAUCACCAAUUACACAACAAGCUAUAGCAACUGUUGGUCUUUUAUGUGUAAUAUUUACUUCUCGCCAACUUUACAACUAUAGCUCUGGGUUAUUUAUGAGUGACUAUCGUGAUAAAUCAGCUUUAUUUGGAA
Molecule: long non-coding RNA, 426 nt
Organism: Bombus terrestris (buff-tailed bumblebee)
Lineage: Eukaryota; Metazoa; Arthropoda; Insecta; Hymenoptera; Apidae
Exons: 3
Source: RefSeq, a predicted model, not a curated record